AGAUCUGUUUUAACUAAGCCAUCUGAUUUUAUUUUUCCUCUCUUUUUUUUUUUUUUCCUAGUUAAGCAAACGAAAACACUCAGGGAUUUGGAUUUGCCAGCUGAAAUGUGAAGGUGGCAACUUACAGCAGAGGGGUGGUGAACAGCCAAAGAAACCAGGGGUGAAGGCAGCAUCUCUCACUGCAUGGCCCUUUCCAUAAUACGCUUCUGGGUGGAACAUAAAGGCGCUUCCAGAGGUUUGCCUCCUAGUUGGAGCUAGUUGGGGCAGCUUCUCCAGAGACUGAGAGAUGUCACUCUACUGAGUGCAGAGGCAGACUGAACUUGUGGGAGAUAGGAACAGAAUGUUCGAAAGGGAAAACCAGAAGGAAGAGGAGUCUGUGUUUGGGACUCUGGCGGUCACACCUAAUGCAGAAACAGGAAGACACAUGUGCCCUUACGAAACUUCAUUCCUGCAUUUCUUAGAUGGUGAGUUAAUCUUUUUCUUAGUAUUUUUUUGUCCUAGGUUAUUCUACAUCUUUGCCUGUUUGACACUGCUGUCAU
This 539-nucleotide long non-coding RNA is filed under the name Calidris pugnax (ruff). Its description in RNAcentral is "lncRNA (ENSCPUG00000018019.1)". Lineage: Eukaryota; Metazoa; Chordata; Aves; Charadriiformes; Scolopacidae. The record is from RNAcentral.